UCAAUGUAUCUUGAAAAUUAAGUCUUGUUAAUAUAUGUUAUUAUUGUUGAUAAUCCUAAAAGUAAUAAAAAUAUUUUUGAAUAUUAUUGUUUUAGUAGAAUGAAUCGAAAAAAAUCAAAAAGAGCUAUAGAAUAAAGUACUGUAAAGGAAAGAUGAAAUAAGUUGAAAAUUUAAUUGGUGUAAAGUAAAGUUAAAUGCUUGUACCUUGUGUAUUAGGGAGAGUCAAAAUAACCUUGCUAUGGUAAGUAGUCCCGAAAGAAAAAGAGUUAAUAUAAAUAUAUAGUUUUCGUGUUAAUGAGAUUAUAAAAUUUAUGUUAGUAGUGAAAUGCUAGUCGAUUUUUCAUAUCUGGUUGGUGGAGAAUUAAAUUGAAUUUAGUUAUUUUGAGGUUAAAAGCUUUGAAAUAGUAAAGAGUAGGAGGGAAAAGCUUCUUAUUCUAAUAAUAGGUGUAUUAUAAUAAAAAUAAUUUAGAUAUUAUUGAAUUAGG
Molecule: ribosomal RNA, 485 nt
Filed under: Penaeus setiferus (white shrimp)
Lineage: Eukaryota; Metazoa; Arthropoda; Malacostraca; Decapoda; Penaeidae
Description: partial 16S ribosomal RNA
Source: RNAcentral